AUACAUGCAAGUCGAACGAGAAUGUGUAGCAAUACACAUGUACAGUGGCGAACGGGUGAGGAUUACAUGGGUAACCUACCCUCGAGUGGGGAAUAACUAGCCGAAAGGUUAGCUAAUACCGCGUACGCUUCCCGGACUGCGGUUCGGGAAGGAAAGCGAUACCGUGGGUAUCGCGCUCUUGGAUGGGCUCAUGCCCUAUCAGCUUGUUGGUGAGGUAACGGCUCACCAAGGCUUCGACGGGUAGCUGAUCUGAGAGGAUGAUCAGCCACACUGGCACUGCGACACGGGCCAGACUCCUACGGGAGGCAGCAGUAAGGAAUAUUGCGCAAUGGGCGAAAGCCUGACGCAGCGACGCCGCGUGGGGGAUGAAGGUCUUCGGAUUGUAAACCCCUUUCGGGAGGGAAGAUGGGAUGGGGUAACCCAUUCGGACGGUACCUCCAGAAGCAGCCACGGGUAACUUCGUGCCAGCAGCCGCGAUAAUACGAAGGUGGCAAGCGUUGUUCGGAUUUACUGGGCGUACAGGGAGCGUAGGCGGUUGGAUAAGCCCUCCGUGAAAUCUCCAGGCUUAACCUGGAAAGUGCA
This 582-nucleotide ribosomal RNA is filed under the name uncultured soil bacterium. RNAcentral's name for it is "bacterial SSU rRNA". It matches the Rfam family "Bacterial small subunit ribosomal RNA", at positions 51 to 625 of the family's 1533-position model. The record is from RNAcentral.